AGUGAACGCUGGCGGUAGGCCUAACACAUGCAAGUCGAACGGCAGCACAGUAAGAGCUUGCUCUUACGGGUGGCGAGUGGCGGACGGGUGAGGAAUACAUCGGAAUCUACUUUUUCGUGGGGGAUAACGUAGGGAAACUUACGCUAAUACCGCAUACGAUCUACCGGGGAAAGCAGGGGAUCUUCGGACCUUGCGCGAUUGAAUGAGCCGGUGUCGGAUUAGCUAGUUGGGGGGGUAAAGGCCCACCAAGGCGAGGAUUCGUUGCCGGACGGAGAGGCAGGUAGGCCACACGGGAACUGAGACACGGUCCAGACUCCUACGGGAGGCAGCAGUGGGGAAUAUUGGACAAUGGGCGCAAGCCUGAUCCAGCCAUACCGCGUGGGUGACGAAGGCCUUCGGGUUGUAAAGCCCUUUUGUUGGGAAAGAAAAGCAGCAGGUUAAUACCCCGCUGUUCUGACGGUACCCAAAGAAUAAGCACCGGCUAACUUCGUG
This 492-nucleotide ribosomal RNA is filed under the name uncultured bacterium. RNAcentral describes it as "partial 16S ribosomal RNA". It matches the Rfam family "Bacterial small subunit ribosomal RNA", at positions 29 to 507 of the family's 1533-position model. The record is from RNAcentral.